AGAGUUUGAUCCUGGCUCAGAACGAACGCUGGCGGCGUGGAUAAGACAUGCAAGUCGGACGGGACUGUUCGUGUAGCAAUACAUGGACAGUUCAGUGGCGAACGGGUGCGUAACACGUGAGCAACCUGCCGUGAAGUGGGGGAUAGCUCGCCGAAAGGCGAAUUAAUACCGCAUGUGGCCAGGAAGGACAUCCUUCCGACGCCAAAGCCGGGGUAACCUGGCGCUUCCCGAGGGGCUCGCGGCCUAUCAGCUUGUUGGUGAGGUAAUGGCUCACCAAGGCUUUGACGGGUAGCUGGUCUGAGAGGACGACCAGCCACACUGGAACUGAGACACGGUCCAGACACCUACGGGUGGCAGCAGUCGAGAAUUUUUCACAAUGGGGGAAACCCUGAUGGAGCGACGCCGCGUGGAGGAUGAAGGUUUUCGGAUUGUAAACUCCUGUCAUUAGAGAACAAGACGCACGGCCUAACUGCCCGUGCGUUGAUAGUAUCUGAAGAGGAAGAGACGGCUAACUCUGUGCCAGCAGCCGCGGUAAUACAGAGGUCUCAAGCGUUGUUCGGAUUCAUUGGGCGUAAAGGGUGCGUAGGUGGCGAUGUAAGUCGGAUGUGAAAUCUCCAAGCUCAACUUGGAAACUGCAUUCGAUACUGCGUCGCUCGAGGAUUGUAGAGGGCAUUGGAAUUCACGGUGUAGCAGUGAAAUGCGUAGAUAUCGUGAGGAAGACCAGUGGCGAAGGCGAAUGCCUGGGCAAUUCCUGACACUGAGGCACGAAGGCCAGGGGAGCGAACGGGAUUAGAUACCCCGGUAGUCCUGGCAGUAAACGGUGCACGUUUGGUGUGGGAGGAUUCGACCCCUUCCGUGCCGGAGCUAACGCGUUAAACGUGCCGCCUGGGGAGUACGGUCGCAAGAUUAAAACUCAAAGAAAUUGACGGGGGCCCGCACAAGCGGUGGAGUAUGUGGCUUAAUUCGAUGCAACGCGAAGAACCUUACCUGGCCUUGACAUGCAUCUCUAAACCGGUGAAAGCCGGCGAGUGUAGCAAUACACAAUUUGCACAGGUGCUGCAUGGCUGUCGUCAGCUCGUGUCGUGAGAUGUUGGGUUAAGUCCCGCAACGAGCGCAACCCCUGUGAACUGUUGCCAUGGAGACGUGAGUCUCCGGCACUCUGUUCAGACUGCCCUGUUCAACGGGGAGGAAGGUGGGGACGACGUCAAGUCAGUAUGGCCCUUACGGCCAGGGCUGCACACGUACUACAAUGCCCGGCACAGAAUGAUCCGAGACCGCGAGGUGGAGGAAAUCCCUAAAGCCGGGCCCAGUUCGGAUUGGAGGCUGCAACUCGCCUCCAUGAAGCCGGAAUCGCUAGUAAUGGCGCAUCAGCUACGGCGCCGUGAAUACGUUCCCGGGCCUUGUACACACCGCCCGUCACAUCAUGGGAGUCGUUUGUACCCGAAGUGCGCGCGCCAACCCGCAAGGGAGGCAGCGCCCUAAGGUAUGAGCGGUAACUGGGAUGAAGUCGUAACAAGGUAGCCGUAGGGGAACCUGCGGCUGGAUCACCUCCUU
This 1554-nucleotide ribosomal RNA is filed under the name uncultured bacterium. RNAcentral describes it as "bacterial SSU rRNA". It matches the Rfam family "Bacterial small subunit ribosomal RNA". The record is from RNAcentral.